RNAcentral lists this microRNA precursor (69 nucleotides) under Heterocephalus glaber (naked mole-rat). RNAcentral's name for it is "mir-8/mir-141/mir-200 microRNA precursor family". It matches the Rfam family "mir-8/mir-141/mir-200 microRNA precursor family". From Rfam's summary of the family: The bounds of the precursors are predicted based on conservation and base pairing and are not generally known. Lineage: Eukaryota; Metazoa; Chordata; Mammalia; Rodentia; Bathyergidae. The record is from Rfam by way of RNAcentral.
GUGGGCAUCUUAUCGGACAGUGCUGGAUUUCUCGGCUUGACUCUAACACUGUCUGGUAACGAUGUUCAA